This 257-nucleotide ribosomal RNA is filed under the name uncultured bacterium. RNAcentral describes it as "partial 16S ribosomal RNA". It matches the Rfam family "Bacterial small subunit ribosomal RNA", at positions 523 to 776 of the family's 1533-position model. The record is from RNAcentral.
UAACGUAGGGUGCAAGGCGUUGUCCGGAAUUAUUGGGCGUAAGGAGCUCGUAGGCGGUCUGUCGCGUCGGCUGUGAAAACCCGGAGCUCAACUCCGGGCCUGCAGUCGAUAACGGGCAGACUGGAGUUCGGCAGGGGAGACUGGAAUUCCUGGUGUAGCGGUGAAAUGCGCAGAUAUCAGGAGGAACACCGGUGGCGAAGGCGGGUCUCUGGGCCGAUGACUGACGCUGAGGAGCGAAAGCGUGGGGAGCGAACAGG